This 468-nucleotide ribosomal RNA is filed under the name uncultured bacterium. Its description in RNAcentral is "partial 16S ribosomal RNA". It matches the Rfam family "Bacterial small subunit ribosomal RNA", at positions 28 to 507 of the family's 1533-position model. The record is from RNAcentral.
GACGAACGCUGGCGGCGUGCUUAACACAUGCAAGUCGAACGGAAAGGCCCUGCUUUUGUGGGGUGCUCGAGUGGCGAACGGGUGAGUAACACGUGAGUAACCUGCCCUUGACUUUGGGAUAACUUCAGGAAACUGGGGCUAAUACCGGAUAGGAGCUCCUGCUGCAUGGUGGGGGUUGGAAAGUUUCGGCGGUUGGGGAUGGACUCGCGGCUUAUCAGCUUGUUGGUGGGGUAGUGGCUUACCAAGGCUUUGACGGGUAGCCGGCCUGAGAGGGUGACCGGCCACAUUGGGCCUGCGAUACGGCCCAGACUCCUACGGGAGGCAGCAGUGGGGAAUAUUGCACAGUGGGCGGAAGCCUGAUGCAGCAACGCCGCGGGCGGGAUGACGGCCUUCGGGUUGUAAACCGCUUUCGCCUGUGACGAAGCGUGAGUGACGGUAAUGGGUAAAGAAGCACCGGCUAACUACGUG